This 253-nucleotide ribosomal RNA is filed under the name uncultured bacterium. Its description in RNAcentral is "partial 16S ribosomal RNA". It matches the Rfam family "Bacterial small subunit ribosomal RNA", at positions 524 to 776 of the family's 1533-position model. The record is from RNAcentral.
GACAGAGGGUGCAAACGUUGCUCGGAAUUACUGGGCGUAAAGCGCGUGUAGGCGGACCACCAAGUCGGACGUGAAAGCCCUGAGCUCAACUCAGGAACUGCAUCCGAAACUGGCGGUCUGGAGUAGCGGAGAGGAAAGCAGAAUUCCUGGUGUAGAGGUGAAAUUCGUAGAUAUCAGGAGGAACACCGGUGGCGAAGGCGGCUUUCUGGACACUUACUGACGCUGAGACGCGAAAGCGUGGGGAGCAAACAGG